RNAcentral lists this transfer RNA (73 nucleotides) under Stegodyphus mimosarum. It matches the Rfam family "tRNA". From Rfam's summary of the family: Transfer RNA (tRNA) molecules are approximately 80 nucleotides in length. Lineage: Eukaryota; Metazoa; Arthropoda; Arachnida; Araneae; Eresidae. The record is from Rfam by way of RNAcentral.
GCCUUCGUGGUGUAGUGGUCAGCACGCUGGGCGCGUAUUCCAGAGGUCCGUGGUUCGACUCCCGGCGAAGGCG